This 425-nucleotide ribosomal RNA is filed under the name uncultured bacterium. RNAcentral's name for it is "bacterial SSU rRNA". It matches the Rfam family "Bacterial small subunit ribosomal RNA", at positions 354 to 796 of the family's 1533-position model. The record is from RNAcentral.
GUGGGGAAUCUUAGACAAUGGGCGCAAGCCUGAUCUAGCCAUGCCGCGUGAGCGAUGAAGGCCUUAGGGUUGUAAAGCUCUUUCGUGGGGGAAGAUAAUGACUGUACCCCAAGAAGAAGCCCCGGCUAACUCCGUGCCAGCAGCCGCGGUAAUACGGAGGGGGCUAGCGUUGUUCGGAAUUACUGGGCGUAAAGCGCACGUAGGCGGACUGGAAAGUCAGGGGUGAAAUCCCGGGGCUCAACCCCGGAACUGCCUUUGAAACUCCCAGUCUUGAGGUCGAGAGAGGUGGGUGGAAUUCCGAGUGUAGAGGUGAAAUUCGUAGAUAUUCGGAGGAACACCAGUGGCGAAGGCGGCUCACUGGCUCGAUACUGACGCUGAGGUGCGAAAGCGUGGGGAGCAAACAGGAUUAGAAACCCUUGUAGUCC